Molecule: ribosomal RNA, 685 nt
Filed under: uncultured Chloroflexota bacterium
Lineage: Bacteria; Bacillati; Chloroflexota
Description: bacterial SSU rRNA
Rfam family: Bacterial small subunit ribosomal RNA
Source: RNAcentral
GGCGAACGGGUGAGUAACACGUUGGUGACCUACCCCAGAGAGGGGGAUAACAGCUCGAAAGGGCUGCUAAUACCCCAUGCCGUCAUGGCGCUUAGAAAGCCAUGACGAAAGGUGCAAAUCGCUCUGGGAGGGGCCUGCGUCCCAUCAGCUAGUUGGUAGGGUAAUGGCCUACCAAGGCGACGACGGGUAGGGGACCUGAGAGGGUGACCCCCCACACUGGCACUGAAACACGGGCCAGACACCUACGGGUGGCAGCAGUAGGGAAUAUUGCACAAUGGGCGAAAGCCUGAUGCAGCAACGCCGCGUGCGCGAUGAAGGCCUUCGGGUCGUAAAGCGCUUUUCGGGGAGAUGAGGAAGGACAGUAUCCCCGGAAUAAGGAUCGGCUAACUACGUGCCAGCAGCCGCGGUAAAACGUAGGAUCCGAGCGUUAUCCGAAUUCACUGGGCGUAAAGCGCGUGCAGGCGGUCCGGUAAGUUGGAUGUGAAAUCUCCUGGCUCAACUGGGAGAGGACGUUCAAUACUGUCGGACUCGAGGACGGUAGAGGGAGGUAGAAUUCCCGGUGUAGUGGUGAAAUGCGUAGAUAUCGGGAGGAAUACCAGUGGCGAAGGCGGCCUCCUGGACCGUUCCUGACGCUCAGACGCGAAAGCUAGGGGAGCAAACGGGAUUAGAAACCCCGGUAGUCCUA